GACGACAAGUUCCGGGUUCGAGCCCCGGGCAACCCA
This 36-nucleotide transfer RNA is filed under the name Equisetum hyemale (Dutch rush). RNAcentral's name for it is "partial transfer RNA-Lys". Lineage: Eukaryota; Viridiplantae; Streptophyta; Polypodiopsida; Equisetales; Equisetaceae. The record is from RNAcentral.